CAUGUAUAUUUGACCAAAAAGAAAUCUUCUGUUUCUUACCACUACCUAUCCUUUAAAUUUUUUUGCAAUUUGUCUAUGUUUAUUAUUUAUGCCCAGGUUUUAUCAUCUGAAAGAUUCCAGAGAAGCCCAGUGAUCCUGAAGGGUACUGGCAGCCACAGUAUCUGAAAUGCUGUGUCUGAGGACCAUCUUCCCCUGACAUUGCAGAAUACCUAGGACAGAGCAACUGUUUCCAGGCCUACUCUUAUCACAGUCUCCUUGGGGACUUUUAAAAAUCCAGGCCUUUGGACUUAAUGAUUCAGAGUUUCUGGGGCUGGACACCUGCUAGCUCCGUGCUUCAGUCACUCCCCAGCAAAUAUCUUCCACUGAGAUCGUGUGGUUUUAAUCAUACAAGGAGAGUGGCAGAAGAACAGAAAGAUUGAAACCAAGGACAGAGAACACCUGAAAUUGGUAAGGAAGAAAACAACCAAAGGUAGUAUUUCACUAAGAAAAACAUCUUAAUUUUUCCUAGCCCUGGUCUUGGCUGUUACAUAGUGGGAUAGCUCGAUGUGCAUACAGCGUGGUUGGCAGUAGAAAGAUCAAUAGAGGAGUUUAUAGGGUUUACGAAGACCUGGAUUCUAAUCCUGCCUCAGCUAUUUAUGAGGAAUGGCUUCAAAUGUUCAGUGGAAGUGAACAAGUUCUUGUAUUGUUUUCUCCUAUUCUCCUUCCAGCUUCAGGGUCAUAUGUCACAGCGCUGGGCAUUUCAUUUGGGUAUCUAUCAUCAUUCCCAUUCUGCAAUGAGGAAAUGCUGUCAGAGUGAUUAAGUAAUUUGCCCAUGGUCUCACAUAGAAGCCUGUCUUCUCCAGGGAACACAGCACUCAGAAUCGUCUCGGCCCCUGCAUAAGCCUGCAUGAGCCUGGGCUCUGGGGACCCAUCCUGGUGCAUCAUUCGUUGGCUCUGUGACAAUGGGCACAUCGUUUAACCUCUCUUGGCUUCAUUCUCCUUACUGGAAUGAUGGAGAGAGUUUUGCCUAUUUCAGAGGCUUGCUCUUCUAUACGUGAGCCUAUAAGUAACUUGUCUUAAGAAUUUCCACUCCUUCUGUACUCUGAUUUAAAUUUGAAGGCAUCAAAACAAAAACAAUCAAGAUUUCAGAUUCCAAAUACUUUCAUUUUCAUUUUUUAUUUUGAUUAGAAUUUCUUCUGAAUGAAUUUCUGUUUUGUAAUUUUAGCAUUGCCCUGAGGGGGGGAAAAGGCAGUUUAUCACCAUGCAGUAUAUUUUUCAGACAGCCUCUCUUUGACAAACUGAUUUUUGUCAGUCUCAACUGACUCACCAAUUCCAAAUCCCAGGGCUUCCCUGGGAAACUUCCUUGGAUCAUGGCUCUGCCACACAGGACCGACAUCCCAGAGGCCAAAGCAACCUGCUAUAAACUGAGAUCAUUGCUCAGCAAGCUGGUACCACAUGCAAGGAGUCUCAAGAGCUAACAGGAAAUGAUUCAAGACCAGAAUUACCCAGAACAAGUGUGUUAGCUUCCUCUGCGCAUGGGAUAAUAAGGAGCUUGCAUCACCAACCUUCCGUGAAUAGCCUACUCAGUGAUUCAACAGGUUUCAAAAUUGUGAAAUAAGGGAUGUCUCUUGCAUGGUGUACUUUAGAAGUCUCUACCUGAGGAUGAAGGAAGUACCCAGGAGUAGGCAUCAUUCCACUUUUGUACCAUCUUCCACUAUGUUUAUAUGGGUCCUCACUGAGAAAAAGGUAUUAAAAGUGAGAUGGAAAGAAUAGGUCAGCUAGGUGAAAAAUGGGAGGAAGAGACAGAAGGAUCUGGGUUACAAAAGGCUGAGACCAGGCCGGGCACGGUGGUUCACUCCUGUAAUCCCAGCACUUUGGGAGGCCGAAGCAGGUGGAUCACG
This 1880-nucleotide long non-coding RNA is filed under the name Homo sapiens (human). RNAcentral's name for it is "HSALNT0346305". Lineage: Eukaryota; Metazoa; Chordata; Mammalia; Primates; Hominidae. The record is from RNAcentral.